This is a non-coding RNA of Vicia faba (fava bean), 273 nucleotides long. The record is from the annotation of a GenBank genome assembly. NCBI's taxonomy places the organism in Eukaryota, Viridiplantae, Streptophyta, Magnoliopsida, Fabales, Fabaceae.
CGUUCUUUCUUCUUCUUUUUGACUACUUACUUUAUUCAGGCUCCUCUCUCUCUAAACUUUUUCUCUCUCUCUCUCUCUCUAAACUUUCUCUCUCCUCUCUCUCUCCACCAUCACCCGCUUCGGAGACAACGCCGGAACACCGUAUACUCUACCGGAAAACUGCCGGAAAAUACUCUGUUCUUAUUCUCUGAAGUAGACCGCUCCGACCAAGUCUCGGAGAACCGGGUUUUUUUCGUUUCUUCUUCACCCGGUCCAAGUUGCUGCAUGAGUUGA